GGAUUAGAGAAUUAGUUUGUUGUGUUAUUUAUUUUUGUGAUUGAAAAGAGAUAAUUAAAGAGAUUUUAUAGUAGAUACGUAUUUUAAUAUAGAGAUAAUUUUUUAAAUUAUGUUUUUUUUGUGAAAAUUAAAGAUAUUUUUUUUUAGAGAUAUUGUUUUAAAGAAUUGUAUUAAGUUAUAGUUUAUGUGUUUUUUAUUUUAAA
Molecule: unclassified non-coding RNA, 203 nt
Filed under: Hevea brasiliensis (rubber tree)
Lineage: Eukaryota; Viridiplantae; Streptophyta; Magnoliopsida; Malpighiales; Euphorbiaceae
Source: RNAcentral